This 83-nucleotide transfer RNA is filed under the name Methanobrevibacter ruminantium M1. Its description in RNAcentral is "tRNA-Leu (TAG) (tRNA-Leu-TAG-1-1)". It matches the Rfam family "tRNA". From Rfam's summary of the family: Transfer RNA (tRNA) molecules are approximately 80 nucleotides in length. The record is from Rfam by way of RNAcentral. Lineage: Archaea; Methanobacteriati; Methanobacteriota; Methanobacteria; Methanobacteriales; Methanobacteriaceae.
GCGAGGGUGUCCGAGAGGCCAAAGGAGACAGGCUUAGGACCUGUUGAUGCAGAUCUACCAGGGUUCGAAUCCCUGCUCUCGCA